Molecule: ribosomal RNA, 252 nt
Filed under: uncultured bacterium
Lineage: Bacteria
Description: partial 16S ribosomal RNA
Rfam family: Bacterial small subunit ribosomal RNA
Source: RNAcentral
UACGUAGGGGGCUAGCGUUAUCCGGAAUUACUGGGCGUAAAGGGUGCGUAGGUGGUUUCUUAAGUCAGAGGUGAAAGGCUACGGCUCAACCGUAGUAAGCCUUUGAAACUGGGGGACUUGAGUGCAGGAGAGGAGAGUGGAAUUCCUAGUGUAGCGGUGAAAUGCGUAGAUAUUAGGAGGAACACCAGUUGCGAAGGCGGCUCUCUGGACUGUAACUGACACUGAGGCACGAAAGCGUGGGGAGCAAACAGG